AGUGAACGCUGGCGGUAGGCCUAACACAUGCAAGUCGAACGGCAGCACAGUAAGAGCUUGCUCUUACGGGUGGCGAGUGGCGGACGGGUGAGGAAUACAUCGGAAUCUACUUUUUCGUGGGGGAUAACGUAGGGAAACUUACGCUAAUACCGCAUACGACCUACGGGUGAAAGCAGGGGAUCUUCGGACCUUGCGCGAUUGAAUGAGCCGAUGUCGGAUUAGCUAGUUGGCGGGGUAAAGGCCCACCAAGGCGACGAUCCGUAGCUGGUCUGAGAGGAUGAUCAGCCACACUGGAACUGAGACACGGUCCAGACUCCUACGGGAGGCAGCAGUGGGGAAUAUUGGACAAUGGGCGCAAGCCUGAUCCAGCCAUACCGCGUGGGUGAAGAAGGUCUUCGGGUUGUAAAGCCCUUUUGUUGGGAAAGAAAAGCAGCAUGUUAAUACCCCGCUGUUCUGACGGUACCCAAAGAAUAAGCACCGGCUAACUUCGUG
RNAcentral lists this ribosomal RNA (492 nucleotides) under uncultured bacterium. Its description in RNAcentral is "partial 16S ribosomal RNA". It matches the Rfam family "Bacterial small subunit ribosomal RNA", at positions 29 to 507 of the family's 1533-position model. The record is from RNAcentral.